CACCCCCCGGGGGAGCUUUGCUCCACCGGAAAAAGAGGAGUGGCGAACGGGUGAGUAACACGUGGGUAACCUGCCCAUCAGAAGGGGAUAACACUUGGAAACAGGUGCUAAUACCGUAUAACAAUCAAAACCGCAUGGUUUUGAUUUGAAAGGCGCUUUCGGGUGUCGCUGAUGGAUGGACCCGCGGUGCAUUAGCUAGUUGGUGAGGUAACGGCUCACCAAGGCCACGAUGCAUAGCCGACCUGAGAGGGUGAUCGGCCACAUUGGGACUGAGACACGGCCCAAACUCCUACGGGAGGCAGCAGUAGGGAAUCUUCGGCAAUGGACGAAAGUCUGACCGAGCAACGCCGCGUGAGUGAAGAAGGUUUUCGGAUCGUAAAACUCUGUUGUUAGAGAAGAACAAGGAUGAGAGUAACUGUUCAUCCCUUGACGGUAUCUAACCAGAAAGCCACGGCUAACUACGUGCCAUCAGCCG
This 475-nucleotide ribosomal RNA is filed under the name Enterococcus faecium. RNAcentral's name for it is "bacterial SSU rRNA". It matches the Rfam family "Bacterial small subunit ribosomal RNA", at positions 65 to 517 of the family's 1533-position model. The record is from RNAcentral. Lineage: Bacteria; Bacillati; Bacillota; Bacilli; Lactobacillales; Enterococcaceae.